RNAcentral lists this ribosomal RNA (429 nucleotides) under Verrucomicrobiota bacterium. Its description in RNAcentral is "Verrucomicrobia bacterium partial 16S ribosomal RNA". It matches the Rfam family "Bacterial small subunit ribosomal RNA", at positions 355 to 776 of the family's 1533-position model. Lineage: Bacteria; Pseudomonadati; Verrucomicrobiota. The record is from RNAcentral.
UAGGGAAUCUUCCGCAAUGGACGAAAGUCUGACGGAGCAACGCCGCGUGAGUGAAGAAGGAUUUCGGUUCGUAAAACUCUGUUGUUAGGGAAGAAAAAAUGUAUAGUAACUAUAUACAAAAGAGACGGUACCUAACCAGAAAGCCACGGCUAACUACGUGCCAGCAGCCGCGGUAAUACGUAGGUGGCAAGCGUUGUCCGGAAUUAUUGGGCGUAAAGCGCGCGCAGGUGGUUUAGAAAGUCUGAUGUGAAAGCCCACGGCUCAACCGUGGAGGGUCAUUGGAAACUAAUAAACUUGAGUGCAGGAGAGAAAAGUGGAAUUCCUAGUGUAGCGGUGAAAGGCGCAGAUAGUAGGAAGAAUACCGGUGGCGAAGGCGACUUUCUGGUCAUCAUCUGACGCUGGGGUACGAAAGCGUGGGUAGCAAACAGG